GGCGGGAGCCGGCGGGCGGUGAAGGGAGUGCCACGGCCCGGUAUCGCGGUCUUCCGUGCUCCCUGCCCGGCUGCGGGCAGCAGAACGCUGAGGGCGAACUGCUCCAAGGACGAGGAGGCGGCGGUGUUCGUCCGUGCGCUGGUACACAGCUCUCACAGUGUCUUGGUUACAGAAGUACUUCUCUGCUAAGCAUUCAGCAUUGAGAAGAAUAGAAUGGAGCUGCAUUGAAAAUCAACAGGACUCAAGGUUUAGACUUUACUGUUUCAAACUCUCAAGUUUGGAAAAAAACCACACAAAGUAUCUAGGGCCAAAAAGCUGACAUAAUGGAAUGAAGAUGAGUACGACUCUACCAGUGGAAUGAUUGGGAAAAGGAAGGGACAGCUGCUUCCGUGAGCAAGUACCAGAGCUGAGCUUGUAAAGAGAACUCCCAAACAUAUGGUAAAUGCAAGAAGACAAGAAAA
This is a long non-coding RNA of Tyto alba (common barn owl), 461 nucleotides long. RefSeq lists it as uncharacterized. NCBI's taxonomy places the organism in Eukaryota, Metazoa, Chordata, Aves, Strigiformes, Tytonidae. The record is from RefSeq and is a predicted model, not a curated record. The transcript is spliced from 3 exons.